ACUCCUACGGGCAGGCAGGCAGGAGUGGGGAAAUAUUGGGCACGAAUGGGGGAACCCUGAUGCAGCCAUGCCGCGUGUGUGAAGAAGGCCUUCGGGUUGUAAAGCACUUUCAGUAGGGAGGAAGGUAGUGUAGUUAACACCUGCACUAUUUGACGUUACCUACAGAAGAAGCACCGGCUAACUCCGUGCCAGCAGCCGCGGUAAUACGGAGGGUGCGAGCGUUAAUCGGAAUUACUGGGCGUAAAGCGCAUGCAGGCGGCCUGUUAAGUCAGAUGUGAAAGCCCGGGGCUUAACCUCGGAAUUGCAUUUUGAAACUGGCAGGCUAGAGUCUUGUAGAGGGGGGUAGAAUUUCAGGUGUAGCGGUGAAA
RNAcentral lists this ribosomal RNA (368 nucleotides) under uncultured bacterium. RNAcentral describes it as "bacterial SSU rRNA". It matches the Rfam family "Bacterial small subunit ribosomal RNA", at positions 335 to 686 of the family's 1533-position model. The record is from RNAcentral.